GUGAAUACAUACCAAAACAUGAUUUAGAAAUGUUAAAGAUCCCAAGAUUCAUGUAUACCUCCAUUUCCUAAGCAUAAAACCGGCUAACCAUGAAAUGACAUAAAAGUCCCAUCUAAAAAUCUAAAUUUCUCAGUUGCAAUUAAAGUAACGUUUAUGUCCUACAACGUAUAACAUAAGAGUUGCAUUUAAAAACCCAAAAUCUUGUUGCCUUCUUCUUUCUUUUUAUUCUCCAUUUCACCAUCCCAAGAGUGUAUACCUGCAUUUCAAAAUUUAAUGAGUUUUAGAGAUUUUUAUUGAAGAAAAUAAACAUGGAUCGAUGUUAUCAUAAAUGAACAAAUCUAAGAACUAUUUAUUUUUUCAAAUAGAAACAUUAUUCAAAGAAUAAGCAUUACUAUACAAUACCUAUGGAAAAAUUCAUGUAGUAGCUAAGGGACUCACCAUGCAUGGUGAUCAUGAUGCAUUAACAUGAUUCAUGAUUAGUUGUAGCACAAAAGUAGCCCAUUCUCCUCUAAUUUCAUCGAAGGGUGCUUCUUCUGAUGAAUAAAUG
RNAcentral lists this long non-coding RNA (547 nucleotides) under Vitis vinifera (wine grape). RNAcentral's name for it is "long non-coding RNA (VVIN_LNC005571)". Lineage: Eukaryota; Viridiplantae; Streptophyta; Magnoliopsida; Vitales; Vitaceae. The record is from RNAcentral.